UACGUAGGGUGCAAGCGUUGUCCGGAAUUAUUGGGCGGAAAGAGCUCGUAGGCGGUCUGUCGCGUCUGCUGUGAAAACUCGGGGCUUAACCCCGGGCCUGCAGUGGGUACGGGCAGACUAGAGUGCGGUAGGGGAGACUGGAAUUCCUGGUGUAGCGGUGAAAUGCGCAGAUAUCAGGAGGAACACCGGUGGCGAAGGCGGGUCUCUGGGCCGUAACUGACGCUGAGGAGCGAAAGCGUGGGGAGCGAACAGG
RNAcentral lists this ribosomal RNA (253 nucleotides) under uncultured bacterium. RNAcentral describes it as "partial 16S ribosomal RNA". It matches the Rfam family "Bacterial small subunit ribosomal RNA", at positions 524 to 776 of the family's 1533-position model. The record is from RNAcentral.